Non-coding RNA from Parelaphostrongylus tenuis, 71 nucleotides. Lineage: Eukaryota; Metazoa; Nematoda; Chromadorea; Rhabditida; Metastrongylidae. The record is from the annotation of a GenBank genome assembly.
ACCUCGGUGGUGUAAUGGUAGCACGCGGUCCCAGUAUGGAUGAAACACGAGCUCGACUCCCGUCUGAGAUC